Long non-coding RNA from Leguminivora glycinivorella, 881 nucleotides. RefSeq lists it as uncharacterized. Lineage: Eukaryota; Metazoa; Arthropoda; Insecta; Lepidoptera; Tortricidae. The transcript is spliced from 4 exons. The record is from RefSeq and is a predicted model, not a curated record.
ACUGCACUACAAGCCAGCAGCGGCAGCUAAGAUCGUUAAAACGUGUUGUGUGCUUGACAAUAUAGCUAACAAAGCGAAUUGUGAACUGCCUCCGCUGAACCGACACGAAGAACAGGAGCAGCAGCAGGAGCAGAGAUUAGCGGCGGAGUUUGACGCCCGUCAGCAGAAUGCUGAUAUUUAUUUGGCAAUAGCUCCUGACAGGUGUUGGCUAAACAAAGAGCUGCAGCUGGGUCGCGCUGCUCGUCAAGCGCUUGUCCGGCAGUUAGCAAAUUAUUGAUUCUUCAUCGGACCAAGGCCGAUUUGUCCAGGACCAAUUUUCGGAUCUCCUGGGCUUCCUGGAACAAGGACUAGUGAUUGUUUCGAGGAGCUGUCAUGGUGUUGGCUCUUGAUAUUUUAUCGUGAAACGCAGAUUUAAUGAUGAAGGCGCGUCGGAACCCAAACGUCAAGAAUCGCCGACGUUCACAGAAGCAGCUACAAUGAGCGGAGAAUCUGAGAGCCAGGAAUGCGGAGCACCUAGCUACUACUAAAAUGGAGAACCCGGACCUAUUAGCGACAUGGAACUGACCAGGACCGUCGUGGGCUCCUCAUGUGCCACCCCCGGAUACCUUUUCUGAUUGUGGUGUUUACAGUACAGUAGUGUACAUAUUCAUGAAAAAAAAAUUGUAGGUACUUUUUUUACAUUUUUAAAAAACGCACUCUGCAUGGUUUUGGAGUUUCGACUUCGUGCUAGAUAAAAACCCCCAGGCAAGAGCAAACAAUUUUUUUUCCUAGCCUAUAUUUGUGACCCACUGCAAAGGCCUCUCUUUUCUUCCGCCACCCAUCACGUUUUGCCGCCUGCUUCGGCUAGCCGCUGCAAAAUACGUCGAGGUCAUCUCGCCUCG